Molecule: ribosomal RNA, 918 nt
Filed under: Escherichia coli
Lineage: Bacteria; Pseudomonadati; Pseudomonadota; Gammaproteobacteria; Enterobacterales; Enterobacteriaceae
Description: partial 23S ribosomal RNA
Rfam family: Bacterial large subunit ribosomal RNA
Source: RNAcentral
AGCCUGAAUCAGUGUGUGUGUUAGUGGAAGCGUCUGGAAAGGCGCGCGAUACAGGGUGACAGCCCCGUACACAAAAAUGCACAUACUGUGAGCUCGAUGAGUAGGGCGGGACACGUGGUAUCCUGUCUGAAUAUGGGGGGACCAUCCUCCAAGGCUAAAUACUCCUGACUGACCGAUAGUGAACCAGUACCGUGAGGGAAAGGCGAAAAGAACCCCGGCGAGGGGAGUGAAAAAGAACCUGAAACCGUGUACGUACAAGCAGUGGGAGCACGCUUAGGCGUGUGACUGCGUACCUUUUGUAUAAUGGGUCAGCGACUUAUAUUCUGUAGCAAGGUUAACCGAAUAGGGGAGCCGAAGGGAAACCGAGUCUUAACUGGGCGUUAAGUUGCAGGGUAUAGACCCGAAACCCGGUGAUCUAGCCAUGGGCAGGUUGAAGGUUGGGUAACACUAACUGGAGGACCGAACCGACUAAUGUUGAAAAAUUAGCGGAUGACUUGUGGCUGGGGGUGAAAGGCCAAUCAAACCGGGAGAUAGCUGGUUCUCCCCGAAAGCUAUUUAGGUAGCGCCUCGUGAAUUCAUCUCCGGGGGUAGAGCACUGUUUCGGCAAGGGGGUCAUCCCGACUUACCAACCCGAUGCAAACUGCGAAUACCGGAGAAUGUUAUCACGGGAGACACACGGCGGGUGCUAACGUCCGUCGUGAAGAGGGAAACAACCCAGACCGCCAGCUAAGGUCCCAAAGUCAUGGUUAAGUGGGAAACGAUGUGGGAAGGCCCAGACAGCCAGGAUGUUGGCUUAGAAGCAGCCAUCAUUUAAAGAAAGCGUAAUAGCUCACUGGUCGAGUCGGCCUGCGCGGAAGAUGUAACGGGGCUAAACCAUGCACCGAAGCUGCGGCAGCGACGCUUAUGCGUUGUUGGGUA